GACGAACGCUGGCGGCGUGCUUAACACAUGCAAGUCGAGCGGUAAGGCCCUCUCGGGGGUACACGAGCGGCGAACGGGUGAGUAACACGUGGGUGACCUGCCCUCAGCUCUGGGAUAAGCCUGGGAAACCGGGUCUAAUACUGGAUAUGACUCCAUGACGCAUGCUGUGGGGUGGAAAGCCUUGUGCGGCUGAGGAUGGGCCCGCGGCCUAUCAGCUUGUUGGUGGGGNGAUGGCCUACCAAGGCGACGACGGGUAGCCGGCCUGAGAGGGCGACCGGCCACACUGGGACUGAGACACGGCCCAGACUCCUACGGGAGGCAGCAGUGGGGAAUCUUGCGCAAUGGGCGAAAGCCUGACGCAGCGACGCCGCGUGAGGGAUGACGGCCUGGUGU
RNAcentral lists this ribosomal RNA (393 nucleotides) under uncultured bacterium. Its description in RNAcentral is "bacterial SSU rRNA". It matches the Rfam family "Bacterial small subunit ribosomal RNA", at positions 28 to 422 of the family's 1533-position model. The record is from RNAcentral.